This 164-nucleotide ribosomal RNA is filed under the name Tachiadenus carinatus. RNAcentral describes it as "5.8S ribosomal RNA". It matches the Rfam family "5.8S ribosomal RNA". From Rfam's summary of the family: 5.8S ribosomal RNA (5.8S rRNA) is a component of the large subunit of the eukaryotic ribosome. It is transcribed by RNA polymerase I as part of the 45S precursor that also contains 18S and 28S rRNA. Functionally, it is thought that 5.8S rRNA may be involved in ribosome translocation. The record is from RNAcentral. RNAcentral also lists the same sequence under 1 other name. Lineage: Eukaryota; Viridiplantae; Streptophyta; Magnoliopsida; Gentianales; Gentianaceae.
AAAACGACUCUCGGCAACGGAUAUCUCGGCUCUCGCAUCGAUGAAGAACGUAGCAAACUGCGAUACUUGGUGUGAAUUGCAGAAUCCCGUGAAUCAUCGAGUCUUUGAACGCAAGUUGCGCCCGAAGCCAUUAGGCCGAGGGCACGUCUGCCUGGGCGUCACGA